CCUACGGGUGGCAGCAGUGGGGAAUCUUCCGCAAUGGGCGAAAGCCUGACGGAGCAACGCCGCGUGAUCGAAUGAAGGCCUUCGGGUGGUAAAGAUCGGUUGACAGGGACGAAUAAGCCAAGCGAAGAGUUUGGUGUAUGACGGUACCUGUUUAGAAAGCUCCGGCUAACUACGUGCCAGCAGCCGCGGGAAUACGUAGGGAGCAAGCGUUGUGCGGAGUUACUGGGCGUAAAGGGCGCGUAGGUGGGUUCUUAAGUCAGGUGUGAAAACUCUGGGCUCAACCUGGAGACUGCACUUGAAACUGGGUAUCUUGAGGGCAGGAGAGGAAAGUGGAAUUCCUAGUGUAGCGGUGAAAUGCGUAGAUAUUAGGAGGAACACCAGUGGCGAAGGCGACUUUCUGGACUGUACCUGACGCUGAGGCGCGAAAGCGUGGGUAGCGAACGGGAUUAGAUACCCCUGUAGUC
This 464-nucleotide ribosomal RNA is filed under the name uncultured bacterium. Its description in RNAcentral is "partial 16S ribosomal RNA". It matches the Rfam family "Bacterial small subunit ribosomal RNA", at positions 338 to 795 of the family's 1533-position model. The record is from RNAcentral.